Molecule: long non-coding RNA, 230 nt
Organism: Mytilus trossulus (common blue mussel)
Lineage: Eukaryota; Metazoa; Mollusca; Bivalvia; Mytilida; Mytilidae
Exons: 3
Source: RefSeq, a predicted model, not a curated record
UUUCAGGGGGCAUUCUUCACCUAAAUGGUAAAAUAUUUACCGGUGUUUACGGGAGCAAUGUCUUCCCAGAAGAAAUAAAAAAUGGAGUUACAGAACGUAUGUUGAGGGUGUAUGCUGCAGGACAGCUUUGUGAAUUGAAGGCAGAAAAUGAUACAUUCUACGGAUUCGAGUUAAACAACGGAGGAUACAGUACCUAUGGUUACAUAAAAUGUUUAAUGAAAGGAACAUUU